RNAcentral lists this long non-coding RNA (576 nucleotides) under Vulpes vulpes (red fox). RNAcentral's name for it is "lncRNA (ENSVVUG00000014096.1)". The record is from RNAcentral. Lineage: Eukaryota; Metazoa; Chordata; Mammalia; Carnivora; Canidae.
AAAAAUGAUAGCUCAUGUGUAACUGUGUGUCAGGUGUCAUUCUGAGCACUUGACACACAUGGCCUUAUUCAGUCCUCACGUUCGUCUUUAUUAUUCACAUUCUCCAGAUGAGGAAACAGAAUUAGAGAAAGUUGAAUAACUGGCCAAGGUUAAAUGCUAUUAACAUUGGCAAAUUGGGUAGAGGAGUUGCUGAAGACGUGGGAGGAAUCGCAGGUGUCUCCAGGUGUUCAAGGCUGGAGGGCAGGGAACACAAUUUGGAUGGUUUUGUGAACUGCAUCAACUCUGUCUCUGAAGAUCUCCUCUAUUGACCUCUCAUCUAAGCCAGUGUCCUCUGCAUAUACUCCUCCCGUUUACUUCAUCCAUCUCAGCUGCUAGUCCAACUCUACAUCAUGAUCUCCAAGCUCCCGUAACCACCACUGACAACAGUCUCCAUGUCUCUUAGGGCAAGUUCUCAUAUGGGAGAUACUUAUCAGGCCAUAUUAUGCUUUUCUCACAGUCUCUCUCGUAGCCAUUUUGGAUUGGUGUAGGGCCGUGGGGUAUAGGAAGAUGCAGAAUGGAUGGGGAAGACAAUGAAAC